GGUCUGACUCUGCCUGUUCUACGCAGCCCCCCAGGUAUGAUAUACUGAACCGCUUUAGGGCCCUGCAGAGUCCUCACCCACCAAAGGCCCCUACCAAGUGCCACCUCUUGACCUUGGGCUUCCCAGCCUCCAGAAAUACAAGGGAUAAAUAUCUUAGCGAUUCUGUCAAAGCAAUGGAAAACCAACCCAGGGGGCAGACAUGGUAAAACACAAGCAAAAGAGGAGAACACAGCUGUUGUUUUAACGCGUGGGGAAUAAGCAACGUCCUGGUGGACACAGACGCUUCCCGGGUGCUGGUUUCGACUCGAGGUUCCUGCUGACACGGACCCAGCCGAAUGGAGGAGGAGAAGUCACCCCAGUGUGUGCAAGGCCCACAUAUACCGCCUUUGGAGUCUACCACAGGCCCGACCAUUUCCCCGCUCUUUUCAGGAUUGUGAAACAUUCAUCACGUGCUUUUAAAUUUCACAUUUUAAGGAGAGCAAAAAAAAAAAAAAAAAUAAAGAACAAAAACGCCAGUAUUGGUGGACUCACAGGGCUGGAAGGAACAUCAAGAUGAAGCCCUCUGUAGAGUUCUGCUUCUAGACCAUCACCCAUCACGGAGGUAUUCUGCCGGCUCUCUCUUCUUUGGACAGAAGAAUGGCCAGAGGCAUUUUUACCCAAGAGUAGUAGACAAAAUCAUCGCGUCAUUAUCCUAUGACUUGGAGGGUUUUAUAAAAAGACAAAGCCUUUAUAAAAAUGGAACUUGACAUCUGCUGUUUGGAUUGGACAUUUCCUUACUUAUAGCCCCCAAAAGAAAAAAGAAUCUGUUUUCUCAAAUUUCAAAUCAUCGAGGAAAAGGAGGGGAACGGGGGCAAUUUAAGAAGUAUUCCACGUGGUAUUCUGGGUUAAGAAGAAAAGGAGGCCAGCUGUAAAUCUGCCUCCGAAGAAUAUCUGUAUAUAGCGGCUGAAGGAGAAUACAAAGUAACUUCAAAAAGGAAGGAUUCUCCAGGGAUAGUCAGCCAGACAACUGUGGUAGGAGUUCUUCUUAGCUCCUGCGGGAAUGUGAGCAGGGAAGAGACAAGGAUGCAGCGAUGGCAGAGCCUUACGUGACCGGGAAGUGAGUGAGAGGAUCGGGGGAGCCUAAGAUAUCGACGGGAGAGGAAAGGACGCAGAUCCCUGUCCGGUGGGGUCUCUGUGCGCGGAGUGCAGGUCAGGUAACCUUUGUCAAGGCCCUAGCCGCAUGAGCGUAGCUCUGAGAGACCUGGGCACGCCUGCAAAAGUGAGCGAUGUGUUUGUCGUCCAGCCCAGACGUCCACCCACUGCUCCUUACUCAGGGGAAGGGUUGGAGACCACACCGCGGCUGACUCAACUGGGAUUAUCCAGUAACGCCAGCUCCUGGUCAGUCCUGCGUGAAUCCUGUUCAGCUCGGUCUCUGGAGGAUCACGCAGCCGUAGUAGAUGGCGUGGGACAAACCCGGGGAGAGCCAUGAGAAGUAAAGGGAGCUGAUUGUGGGCAGAGGCGGACAAGAAGAUAAGCCCUCCGCAGGUGUGGCUGCGGGAGGCCAUGCCUGGAAUCCGGGGGACUUGCAUAGUUGGCUCUGUCCGCACUGCCAGAAGGGAAGGCUGAAGUGAAACACGGAUCCUGUAGCAGCUCCCGAGGCCUAGAUUUUGCUCAUUGUAUCCCCACUUUGUUUUUCAAAUCAUGAUCCUCUCACCCUUGCUUUUCUUCUAAGCUAUUAGGUAAGUCUAAAGGCUUUAUUAAGUCCAGGUU
Fukomys damarensis (Damara mole-rat) is the source of this 1749-nucleotide long non-coding RNA. RefSeq lists it as uncharacterized. The record is from RefSeq and is a predicted model, not a curated record. The transcript has 3 exons. Lineage: Eukaryota; Metazoa; Chordata; Mammalia; Rodentia; Bathyergidae.